UACGAGGGGUGCAAGCGUUGCUCGGAAUUAUUGGGCGUAAAGGGUAGGUAGGUGGUCUGAUUUGUCUGGGGUGAAAGCCUUGAGCUUAACUCAAGAAGUGCCCCAGAAACGGUCAGACUGGAGUCUCGGAGAGGGUCGUGGAAUUCCCGGUGUAGCGGUGAAAUGCGUAGAGAUCGGGAGGAACACCAGCGGCGAAGGCGGCGACCUGGACGAGCACUGACACUCAACUACGAAAGCGUGGGGAGCAAACGGG
RNAcentral lists this ribosomal RNA (253 nucleotides) under uncultured prokaryote. RNAcentral describes it as "partial 16S ribosomal RNA". It matches the Rfam family "Bacterial small subunit ribosomal RNA", at positions 524 to 776 of the family's 1533-position model. The record is from RNAcentral.